RNAcentral lists this ribosomal RNA (558 nucleotides) under uncultured bacterium. RNAcentral describes it as "partial 16S ribosomal RNA". It matches the Rfam family "Bacterial small subunit ribosomal RNA", at positions 355 to 902 of the family's 1533-position model. The record is from RNAcentral.
UGGGGAAUAUUGCACAAUGGGCGCAAGCCUGAUGCAGCCAUGCCGCGUGUGUGAAGAAGGCCUUCGGUUGUAAAGCACUUUCAGCGAGGAGGAAGGUGGUGAACUUAAUACGUUCAUCAAUUGACGUUACUCGCAGAAGAAGCACCGGCUAACUCCGUGCCAGCAGCCGCGGUAAUACGGAGGGUGCAAGCGUUAAUCGGAAUUACUGGGCGUAAAGCGCACGCAGGCGGUUUGUUAAGUCAGAUGUGAAAUCCCCGGGCUCAACCUGGGAACUGCAUUUGAAACUGGCAAGCUAGAGUCUCGUAGAGGGGGGUAGAAUUCCAGGUGGUAGCGGUGAAAUGCGUAGAGAUCUGGAGGAAUACCGGUGGCGAAGGCGGCCCCCUGGACGAAGACUGACCGCUCAGGUGCGAAAGCGUGGGGAGCAAACAGGAUUAGAUAACCCUGGUAGUCCACGCUGUAAACGAUGUCGAAUUUGGAGGUUGUGCCCUUGAGGCGUGGCUUCCGGAGCUAACGCGUUAAAUCGACCGCCUGGGGAGUACGGCCGCAAGGUUAAAACUC